Molecule: small RNA, 729 nt
Filed under: Pan troglodytes (chimpanzee)
Lineage: Eukaryota; Metazoa; Chordata; Mammalia; Primates; Hominidae
Description: processed transcript
Source: RNAcentral
GCCGUGAACUGGGCAGCUGUGACACGUGCACCUUGUCACCUUGUCACCAAUUUCCUGCCCGGGAUCCCAGAGCUACCCUUCUUGGAGCCCACAGGGGCAGCCCUUGGCUGGUCCCUGUGAGCCCGUGGACACUGCCAGAGAUGUCCUCUUUCAGUUACAGGACCCUGACUGUGGCCCUCUUCGCCCUGAUCUGCUGUCCAGGAUCGGAUGAGAAGGUAUUCGAGGUACACGUGAGGCCAAAGAAGCUGGCGGUUGAGCCCAAAGGGUCCCUCAAGGUCAACUGCAGCACCACCUGUAACCAGCCUGAAGUGGGUGGUCUGGAGACCUCUCUAGAUAAGAUUCUGCUGGACGAACAGGCUCAGUGGAAACAUUACUUGGUCUCAAACAUCUCCCAUGACACGGUCCUCCAAUGCCACUUCACCUGCUCCGGGAAGCAGGAGUCAAUGAAUUCCAACGUCAGCGUGUACCUUGGCUGUACAAUUUCUGAACCUUGUCCUUGUAGACACCUGGUCACCAGAAACCAUCAUGUCUGUAAAACUACCACACAGUCCAGCCUCCAUCCUCAACUGCCGCCCUCUUCCUCUCCGCACUGGAGCCGGCCAGGCCACUUCCUCCCCAACCAUGGAACACCAUGAGCCUCCAAGGCAGGUCAUCCUGACACUGCAACCCACUUUGGUGGCUGUGGGCAAGUCCUUCACCAUUGAGUGCAGGGUGCCCACCGUGGAGCCC